Non-coding RNA from Nomia melanderi (Alkali bee), 574 nucleotides. The record is from RefSeq and is a predicted model, not a curated record. Lineage: Eukaryota; Metazoa; Arthropoda; Insecta; Hymenoptera; Halictidae.
CGUGGUGGUUGUAUCGUUCAUCCACGAGUGAACAAUUAUUCAGUUUUUAGAAGUUUUAAUUCUGUUUCGCGGUUAAGCAAUAAUAAAAUUAGUGACAUAAGUGUUUUUAAAACGAUGGACAAUGAUUUUUGGCGACAUAGUAGCAUUUGUAGCAGAAAAAUAAAAAUUCCGAGCAAUUAUCGGACUUCAAGGAACAGGAGGGGUUUCAACGCUAUUUAUUUAUCAUUUUUAUGGGUUCAACACUGUCCACCAAUUAUAAUUCCAUUUCUUCUUAUUAAGCUCUUAAAUCUUCUUUCAGUAUGCCACUUGCUAUUUUCGAUUUCAAUGUUUUAUUUAUAAUCCAUUUUGGAUUUUAGACUAUAAAGCCCUUUACCUGUUUCACUAAAGUUCAAUUUUAAUCACCAAUCAUUAACCCAAAUGUUCCUUGAAAGUGUUUAAGAUAACAUUUACCCCAUAACAAGUGCUCAAGUGUGUAUAGUGUGACAUUCGCACUAUUUUGUCUUCCAAUUCAAAUUUGCUGGAAAGAAUAAGACCUCCACACCCUGGACUAAUCUCGCAGCGUGUCAUCCACUGC